This 365-nucleotide ribosomal RNA is filed under the name uncultured eukaryote. RNAcentral's name for it is "partial 18S ribosomal RNA". It matches the Rfam family "Eukaryotic small subunit ribosomal RNA", at positions 592 to 976 of the family's 1831-position model. The record is from RNAcentral.
CAAUAGCGUAUAUUUAAGUUGUUGCAGUUAAAAAGCUCGUAGUCGGAUUUUGGCUGGGAACGAACGGUCCGCCGUUAGGUGUGCACUGUUUGGUCUCAGCUUCCUGGUGAGGAGGUGUGCUUCACGGCCACUUAGUCACCGUGGUUACUUUGAAAAAAUUAGAGUGUUCAAAGCGGGCUUACGCUUGAAUAUAUUAGCAUGGAAUAACACCAUAGGACUCCUGUCCUAUUUCGUUGGUCUCGGGACGGGAGUAAUGAUUAAGAGGAACAGUUGGGGGCAUUCGUAUUUCAUUGUCAGAGGUGAAAUUCUUGGAUUUAUGAAAGACGAACUUCUGCGAAAGCAUUUGCCAAGGAUGUUUUCAUUGA